Molecule: non-coding RNA, 7874 nt
Organism: Pelobates cultripes (western spadefoot toad)
Lineage: Eukaryota; Metazoa; Chordata; Amphibia; Anura; Pelobatidae
Source: the annotation of a GenBank genome assembly
GCUGUCCCACCUUGUAAUCACAGAUAAAUCAUCUUUGCAAUCCAUUACAUUUUACAGGUUGGAAGAGUAAGGAAAGUGUUCCUCGGCUGAUUGCUGAAUACAUGGAAAAUAAAUUUAAUUUGGAUGGGUUGGUGAGCUACACAUUACCAUUUGAUGAGAUUAAUCAAGGAUUUAAUCUUCUUCGUUCUGGGAUGAGGUUGGUAAUAAGGAGCACUAAAUCCAUAGUAUUAAUUCUAUUAUUUGUAAAUAAUAGUAACACAAAGAAUAGACAGCAUUUUCACUUCAUAUGAUUGGUAUAACUCAUUUUUUAUUGUGCACAUAAUAUCACAUUCUUUCAGCUCAUGAGAAGUUGUUUUUUUUUUCUUCUUCUUAUGAUCAAGUGUAAACAGAUCUAUAAACAGGUGCCUUUUUAUAGGAAAUUAGGGGUAGACAAUGAUUUGAAAAAUACAGUUAUUUCAGGGUAUUCAGAACCAAAUUUUUCCAGAGUCUAUAAAAUAUGUUGGAGUUUGGAGCCUGCAUCAAAAGCCUUACUUCAGUCUAAACUAAUUAAUGCCUUCUGAACGGAUUGCCUGGAAUCAUCCAGUUCUAACGAUUCUUCCAUAAUUGUGGUCCUUUUAUUAACUUCUUAGAUAAAGAACUUAAGGAAUAAAUUCAGAGACCUUUUCCAUAUCGAAUACAAAGAGUGUUACUUAGAUACACUCCUACCAAUGCUACUUACUGAACAUACUUUUGCUGCUUAAGAGUACAAUCACCUUAAAUUGGAAAUUCACUUUGAAUUCUCAUUUUAGUGAAUAAACCUGUCUGUGUGGUGUGGAGCACUUUUACUAUGCAUAUUACACUAUGAAAUGUGUAUCCUUUUGUUUCCACUGUAGAUCUGUCCUUUAAUUGUCCAUAUUAGGAGAGGUGUGUUGUGUGCACUUUACUGAGUGUGACAAAUGAUAUAUCGAGUGGGAAGAUACAUAUCUCUCCCCUCACAUUCAUUGUGGCAGUCAUACUGGAGGCAAUGGAAGAAAUGUUUAACCUCAUAUAUUAAUAACAACACAGUAUUUAACAAGGAACAGUACAUUCAGACUACUCUGGUUUCCAAGUAUGUCCUGGGGAUGUUCCUUUUGCCCAACAUCAAGGGGAUGUUACUAAAUAUCUUUUAAUCUAUGUAUAACAGAUUUAUUUAAUCAAUCAUUCUUAGCAGGAGAUUGGAAGUUAGCAAAUGUUGUACCCAUUCACAAGAAAAGUAGUAGGCAGGAGUCGCGCAACUAUAGGCCAGUAAGCCUUACUUCAGUAGUGGCGAAAGUAAUGGAAACCAUGUUAAAGGAUAGGAUUGUUGAACAUCUAAAAUCACAUGGAUUUCAAGAUCAGAGACAACAUGGGUUUACUUCAGAGAGAUCAUUCCAAUCUAAUCUUAUUGAUUUUUUUUUGAUUGGGUAACUAAAAUAAUAGAUCAGGGUGGUGUAAUAAACAUUGCUUACCUAGAUUUCAGUAAGACUUUUGACACUGUUGCAUAUAGAAGACUUCUCAAUAAACUGCAAUCUUUAAGUUUGGAUUCCAAUAUUGUUGAAUGGGUAAGGCAGUGGCCUAGUGACAGGCAACAGAGGGUUGUAGUCAAUGGAGUAUAUUCAAAGCACGGUCUUGUCACUAGUGGGGUACUUCAGGAAUCUGUACUUGGAUCUAUUCACUUUAAUAUUUUUAUUAGUGAUAUUGCAGAAGGUCUUAACGGUAAGGUAUAUAUUUUUGCUGAUGAUAUUAAGAUAUGCAACAGGGUUGAUAUUCCAGGAGGGAUAAGCCAAAUGGCAAAUGAUUUAGGUAAACUAAAAAAAUGGUCUGAGAUGUGGCAACAUACAUUUAAUGUGGAUAAGUGCAAGAUAAUGCAUCUUGGAUGUAAAAACCCAAGGGCAGAGUACAGAAUAUUUGAUAGAGCCCUAACCUCAACAUCUGAGGAAAGGGAUUAAGUGGUAAGUAUUGCAGGUGACUUAAAGGUAGGCAGACAAUUUAAUAGAGCUGCAGGAAAUGCUAACAGAAUGCUUGGUUGUAUAGGGAGAGGUAUUAGCAGUAGAAAGAGGGAAGUGCUCAUGCCAUUGUACAGAACACUGGUGAGACCUCUCUUGGAGUAUUGUACGCAGUACUGGAGACUGUAUGUCUAAAGGAUAUUGAUACUUAAUGGACCACUAUAGGCACCCAGACCACUUCAGCUCAAUGAAGUGGUCUGGUUGCCAGGUCCCUCUAGUUUUAACCCUGCAGCUGAAAACAUAGCAAUUUCAGAGAACCCUAUGUUUACACUGAGGGUUAAUCCAGCCUCUAGUGGCUGUCUCCCUGACAGCCACUAUAGGCCACUUCAGUGAUUCUCACUGUGAAAAUCACAGUGAGAAGACGCUGAUGUCCAUAGGAAAGCAUUGAGUAAUGCUUUUCUAUGGGCGGUUUGAAUGUGCACGCGGCUCUUGUCGCGCAAUGCGCAUUCGACGCUGACGUCGGCAGGAGGAGGAGAGUUCCCCAGCGCUGAGGGAGUCCGGCACUUGAAAUAGGUAAGUGGCUGAAAGGGUUCCCAGUGGGAGGGGGCCAUGAGGGUGGGGGGGACCUAAGGACCACAUAGUGCCAGGAAAACAAGUUUGUUUUUCUGGCACUAUAGUGGUCCUUUAAGAGAGAGUUCAGAGAAGGGCAACUAAACUGGUUCAUGGAUUGCAGGAUAAAACUUACAAGGAAUGGUUAAAGGAUUUCAUCAUGUAUAGCUUGGAGGAAAGACGGGGGUGUGGGUAUGAUAGAAACAUUUAAAUACAUAUAGGGAAUCAACAUAGUAAAGGAGGAGACUAUAUUUAAAAGAAGAAAAACUACCACAACAAGAGGCAUAGUCUUUAAUUAGAGGGGCAAAGGUUUAAACAUAAUAUCAGGAAAUAUUACUGUACUGAGAGGGUAGUGGAUGCAUUAAAUAAGCUUUCAGCAUGGAAUAACCUUUCAGUGAAGGAGUUUAAGCAUGAGUGGGAUAGGCAUAAGGCUAUCCUAGCUAUAAGAUAAGGCCAGGGACUAAUGAAAGUAUUUAGAAAAUUGGGCAGACUAGAUGGGCCGAAUGGUUCUUAUCUGCCGUCACAUUCUAUGUUUCUAUGUUUCUAUGCUACCAGCAUACUAGAAACAUUAAAUUCUUGUAUCAUCCCAAAGAUGAUCUUGUCACAUACAAGCUUUAUAAAUAGAUCCAGUUUUUCUACCAUUGUUUAUUGGUGUAAAUAUUUCAGAUGUUCUGAUUCACAUUCAUAUUGAGCAUUUUAUUAAAGGCAAUCUUUCAUUUACCAGGAUUUUUAAAAUUAUGUUUACUAAUCCACUAUGGUUAAAGGAACACUCCAGACCCCAUAAAAACCUAAUUCAUUGCUAGCUAUGCAUUCUAUGGUCAGUGAUGAGCAUUAGUAGCAGAGACAGAGUUGGAGGAAGAGACAAAGGGGCUGAGCAGACAGGGGCCAGGAAGACAACUUAAAGAUGAAAACAUUUUUUUAAACCGCUGAGGCCUCCAGGCUUAUUAGUGACUUCAUUAAGAGAAAGUUGUUGUUGUAACUGUAGUGUUCCUUUAACAAAUAUGUAUUUAUGACUUAUAAUAAAUGUAUAAAUAAAGACCUUUUUUAUCCUGCUACUCAACUGGGCACCUCCAUUUUAGCUCUGUCAAUCAUUAUUAUACGCUCUGUCCUUUGCACUAGGCAUUCAGCAUGUAAAAAGCAUACAGAGAAGAGAUUUUUUUUAAAGUUAUGGACACACUGAUUUACACACGGUUAUAUACACUGAGUAGUCUUGUAUGUGCCUGUGAAUGCAUAUGUUUGUGUCUGGGAGCAUAUGUGAGUGGGGAGCUGCUUGUGGUGUGUUCAUUUUUUUUUUUUUUUCAAGGCUGUGCUGUGUAUGAGGUCGUGACUUUGUGUGUGUGAGGGUAAUUGUAGUUUGCUGUCUACUGUAGAACAACUAAUUUACAUUUCCCAUAAACGUAGGUCAUUACAUAGACAGUAGUAGUUGUAGUAGUUAAAAAAAAGUUACCUGUGCACUAGCCCAAAUCCAUAUGCCUAUUUAAAUAAAUGGAGGUUAUUUAGUAACUCCAAUGGCCAUUAGAUGUAAGCCCAGCUGCCACGUCAAGGCAAACAUCACUAACAAUUCACCUUGCUUCCUUGAGCUUCUGCAAAUAAAUCUCUAAUGAAACAGAGAGAGGUAUUUUCGAAAACGUAUUAACUCAGAAUAGGGAACACACAGGGUGGGCGGCAGCACUGUAACAUUACUGUGUGAUGCAAAAAGGAAAUACAAAUACACAAAAAUAAGUCCUGUGCUCAAGCUCCCACUACUCCUGGGCGGCAGCAACGAGCAUAGCACACAAAUACACAAAAGUACCCCUCUCUGUCUCAUUAGAGAUUUCUUUGCCUGAAGCUCAAGGAAGCAAGGUGAAUAAUUGUUAGUGUAGGACCCACCUAAGAGGUUUGCCUUGAUGUGGCAGGUGGAUUUACAACUAAUAGCUAUUGGAGUUACUAAAUAACCUUCAUUUAUUUAAAUAUGCACAGGGAUUUGGGCUAGUGCAAGGUAACUUUUUUUCUUUGUAUGUAUUGGUGAUGUUAUGUGCCUAUGGUCAUUGCUGCCACCCUGUAGUAGUGGGAGUUUGAGCACAGGAUUCAAUUUUGUGUAUUUCUAUGCAGGAGUUAUAACUAAAUUGUUUACUUGAAACCAACAAACAAAUGGCUAUUAUUAAAUAGACAUAAUAAAAAUUCAAGGGAUACUAUAAUUACCAAAACAACUUUAGCCUAAUGAAGCAGUGUUGGUGUUUAGAUCAUGCCUUUGUAGUCUCACUCCUAAAUUAUCUACUAUUUAGGAGUUAAAUCACUUUGUUUAUGCAGCCCUAGGCACACUUCCCAGCAUGUGGCUUACACAGCCUUCCUAUGCAAUUUCCUGUAAAGAGUCAUCUAAUGCUUACACUUCCUUUGUUGCAAAUUCUGUUUAAUUUAAAAUUUCUUAACUUCUGCUCUGUUAUUAACUUGCUAGACCAUGCAGGAGCCUCCUGUGUGUAAUUAACGUUCAAUUUACAGAGCAGAAAAUAAAAACCUUUAAAGUAAGUUACAUCUGUUUGAAAGUUGUGACUGAGUCAGUUGAGACUGUGUAAGUCACAGCCAGGAGAGAUAGGGCUACGGCUGCAUGUACAGAAACUAAAGCAAUUUAACUCCAAAAUGACAGGGAAUUUAGCAGGGAAACGUAAGAGGCAUAAUAUAUACACAAAAACUGCUUCAUUAAGCUAAAGUUGGUUUGGUGACUAGAGUCAAAUAAUUAUUAGUUAUUUUGGCAGCUUGUGACUGACUAAAUAUUCUGCAAACCCCAGAGUGGUGUACAGAGCAGUGGUUCCCAACUUUUCUGGCCCAAGGCACACUUCAAUGCAAGAAAAAUACAGUAUCUAAAGCACACCUAAUUUAUACUUUCAUUAGAAGAUUAUUAAUUUCCCCCAAAGCUUACUAUGGCAGAUUUAGAAUUAUGUGGCAAAGGAAAGUAAAACAUAAUCUGCUUGAUCAUGCUUGCUUCCAUACAUGGGUGUGGUGAAGGCUAUGAAGUAAAUACAUUUGUUGUCAUUAUUAUGCCUUGGGUCCUAAAUUAACUUUAAGGACACCGCUUCAAAAGCUUGUCUUGCAAGCAAUUUUUGCAAUUCCAUUUUUUAAAGGACAAAAAGAGCUUUAAUUUGAUGUGACAUAUCUAUAUAUAAACUCUCAAUUUCUUAUACACCUGGUUCCAAAUUAUUAUGCAAAUUAUAAUUGCAAAUUGCGGACAGCCACUAGAGGCGCAUCUGCCACGCUGGAUGCGAAUUUUGCAUCCAUCAUGCAGAGCGUCCAUAGGAAAGCAUUGAGAAAUCUGACGUCGGACGGGGGAGCUGACAUCGGACGGGGAGGAGAUGUCACCAGCACCGAGGGAGGCCGGCGCUGGAAUAAGGUAAACUGCUGAAGGGGUUUUAACUCUUCAGUGCCACGGGAGGGGAUCCUGAGGUUGGGGGCAGUAAAACCACUUUAUUUUCCUGACACUAUAGUGAUCCUUUAAAAGUCAUCAAAGAAAACAAAAUUGCCGCACAAAAGUAUAUAUGUAUAUAAAAUAGACAUCACAAGCUAUUUACUUAAGGUUAUUUUGACACUUUUUAGAUAGCCAUUUCACCGCCAAUCUCUGCUAAAUAUUCUAGUGAAAUUGUGUUUUCCAGUGUUUUGACAUACAAACUUAUAACAAGGAUCUUUUGAUGGGUAUUUCUUAAAGCUGAUGUGUGCUAUUCCUGAACAAAAUUUAGUGUUCACCUACAUCUGCUGAGUACAAGUUUAUUUGCUAGUUUGUACCAAGUCUAGUAAUAGUAACCAUAUUUUCUGCCUUUUUGACACACACACUUGGAGAUGUUGCUGUAUAUUUUGCAAUUCUUAUGUGUGCUACAGCAGUAUAACGCUUAAUAUGUUGUUCAGCUAUGUCGUCUUAGUACAGCAAAACCCCAUGUGUACCUCUUUCAAAUAUAUGUGGAUGUCGAAUUGGCAAAUUUGAGACAGACAUUUCAGUUUUUUUCAAAUUCAAUUUUGAUGCUGGUUCUACGGUGAAUAUGUAGCAUUUUAACAGGUUGUUAAAAUACUACCCCACCAAAGGCCUACCAUUCCUUAAAGAAGAUAUUAAUCACUGUCACCCUGCAUCAACCUGCAUCAAACUCUGAGGCACUGUCUGUCAACUCUCUUUUGCGGACAGAAUUCUGAAUCCGCCUCUGCACUGAAUUUCCUAAGCAUUUUAAACUUUUUACACAAGAACUUUAACUAAAUAAUGUUAUUAAUUAUUUUAUUUUUUCAAUUUCGUAACACUAAACUCUUCAAUUUCCCAUGAAUUAUUUGCAGCAUCCUCCCUUGGCUCUGAACGUUAUCAGCAAUUAACGGUAGCACAAGCAUGACGAAAAAAUUUUCGUCGGACAUCGUGAAACGGUUAAAAGAUUAGUCCAAACAUAUAAAGCACCUUACCUUGCUGAAAUUCUUUAUUUGCGACAAGAGUCUCAAGUGUGUUUCAUUUUUUAAAAAGUGCAGAUUUUAAAAGAAAUCAGAACUUUUAACAACAAAUAUUUUUAUAAAAACAUAGUACAGUAUACAAAUAUGAAGAAAAGUUCCACCAUUCCAAAAGUAACUCCCAUGAAGAUAUGACAUUGUAGAAAUUGACAGUUUUAUAAAUGAAUGCUGAUAUACCUCCCUGGCUGUCACCAUCUUCUAGUUUAGCUCUGUGGGGCUAAAUUCAAAUGCAGGUGCUUGUGCACAGAGUAUGUCUUCUUCUCAGUAAGCUUAAAUAUAGCUCAAAUCGCUAUGAUUAUUCCCUGGCACAGAUAAGAAAGUCUGUUAAGGGGAUGAAGGGGUGGGCAGGCAGUAGCUGCAGAUGCUAUACAGGGCCGGUGCAAGGAUUUUUAUUUAUUUUAUUGCAUCAAAAAGGGUCCAGGGAGAUCAACGUUUCAGUCCCUAACUGGGACUUUCAUCAGGAAACGUUGAUCUCCCUGGACCCUUUUUGAUGCAAUAAAAGAAAUUUAUUUAAAGAAGACCGUGAGUGCAGACUUAUUACAUACUUGGAAUAUACAUAAACAUAUAUAUGUGUAUAUAUACACAAAACUCAAUAUAUAUAUUUGUUUUUUUAUGGAUUGUUCCUUUAAAACCAUAGAUAUGCAUAUACGCAAAACACAUAUUAUGUCUUAUUUAUUUGCUUAUUUUAACCUAUUUUUUUUUUUUUUGUUCUAGCAUCCGAACUAUACUGAUGUUCUAAGAGCGAAAUUCCUGUAACGUGUAUUAUCAACAGAACAGACAGCUCACCAUGUGGAAGAUAUAAAUGGAUAAUUGUUCUAAUUUCUUUUUUAGAUACUUUUUUUCUUGAUUUGUAUAUUAAUACAAUAUUGCCAG